This 438-nucleotide ribosomal RNA is filed under the name uncultured bacterium. RNAcentral's name for it is "bacterial SSU rRNA". It matches the Rfam family "Bacterial small subunit ribosomal RNA", at positions 958 to 1396 of the family's 1533-position model. The record is from RNAcentral.
AACGCGAAGAACCUUACCUGGGCUUGAACCGCACAGGACCAUCUUCAGAAAUGAGGACUUCCCGCAAGGGACCUGUGUAGAGGUGCUGCAUGGCUGUCGUCAGCUCGUGCCGUGAGGUGUUGGGUUAAGUCCCGCAACGAGCGCAACCCUUACUCAUAGUUGCUACCCGCAAGGGAGAACUCUAUGAGGACUGCUCCGGAUAACGGAGAGGAAGGUGGGGAUGAGGUCAAGUCAGCAUGGCCUUUAUGUCCAGGGCCACACACGUGUUACAAUGCGCGCCACAAAGCGUCGCGAACCCGCGAGGGGGAGCUAAUCGCAAAAAACCGGUCUCAGUUCGGAUUGCAGGCUGCAACUCGCCUGCAUGAAGCUGGAAUCGCUAGUAAUCGCGUAUCAGAACGACGCGGUGAAUACGUUCCCGGGCCUUGUACACACCGAGUA